Molecule: ribosomal RNA, 244 nt
Filed under: uncultured bacterium
Lineage: Bacteria
Description: partial 16S ribosomal RNA
Rfam family: Bacterial small subunit ribosomal RNA
Source: RNAcentral
CACGCCCUAAACGUUGCAGACUCGCUAUUUUGAGUAUCGACCCUCAAAGUGGCUAAGCUAACGCGGUAAGUCUGCCGCCUGGGAAGUACGAUCGCAAGAUUAAAACUCAAAGGAAUAGACGGGGAGACGCACAAGCAGUGGAUUAUGUGGUUUAAUUCGAUAGUAAACGAAGAACCUCACCAAGAUUUGAAACUAAGGAGAAAACCCUAGAAAUAGGGCCCUCGCAAGACCCCUUAGCAGGUGA